RNAcentral lists this ribosomal RNA (595 nucleotides) under Clostridioides difficile. RNAcentral's name for it is "partial 23S ribosomal RNA". It matches the Rfam family "Bacterial large subunit ribosomal RNA", at positions 2328 to 2925 of the family's 2925-position model. The record is from RNAcentral. Lineage: Bacteria; Bacillati; Bacillota; Clostridia; Peptostreptococcales; Peptostreptococcaceae.
CGGUCGGAAAUCGUACGUAGAGUGUAAAGGCAAAAGAGAGCUUGAUUGCAAGACAUACAGGUCGAGCAAGGAUGAAAAUCGGACUUAGUGAUCCGGUGGUUCUGCGGGGAAGGGCCAUCGCUCAACGGAUAAAAGCUACCCUGGGGAUAACAGGCUUAUCUCCCCCAAGAGUCCACAUCGACGGGGAGGUUUGGCACCUCGAUGUCGGCUCAUCACAUCCUGGGGCUGUAGUAGGUCCCAAGGGUUGGGCUGUUCGCCCAUUAAAGUGGUACGCGAGCUGGGUUCAGAACGUCGUGAGACAGUUCGGUCCCUAUCCGUCGCAGGCGUAGGAAAUUUGAGAAGACCUGUCCUUAGUACGAGAGGACCGGGAUGGACGUACCUCUGGUGUACCAGUUGUCCUGCCAAGGGCAUGGCUGGGUAGCUAUGUACGGAAUGGAUAAGCGCUGAAAGCAUCUAAGCGCGAAGCCAACUUCAAGAUAAGAUUUCCCACCGCAAGGGUAAGACCCCAGAAAGACUAUCUGGUUGAUAGGUCGAAGGUGUAAGUGCAGUAAUGUAUUUAGCUUAUCGAUACUAAUAGGUCGAGGACUUGACCAAU